AAACUGCGAUAAGUAGUGUGAAUUGCAUUUAGUGAAUCAUCGAAUCUUUGAACGCACCCUGCACUCACUGGUAUUCCGGUGAGUACGCCUGUUUCAGUAUCAUUGAAAACACACAAUCAAAACACUUUCUUUGGUUUGAUUGGCUUUGGGUCUAUCAAAAAGUUUGGCUUGUUUCUUACAAGCCAAGCGGCCUGAAAUAUAUUGUCUGGCUAAUUGCAUCGUUGAUGAUCGCUAUUAGACUUUGGCUUUUUUAAAUGAACUGGAGGUUGAUUAACCAGUUUUAGCUUUAGUCAAAUGGUCAUUGUAAAAAAAAUUCUCGAUCUUGGCUAGGUGUUUAUAGCCGAAAAUUUUUUUUUGGCUAUAACCGAAACCAAUAUAAUCACAUUUAGUUAUCGAUCUGAAAUCAGGUGGGACUACCCGCUGAACUUAAGC
Molecule: unclassified non-coding RNA, 432 nt
Filed under: plant metagenome
Description: partial contains 5.8S ribosomal RNA, internal transcribed spacer 2, and large subunit ribosomal RNA
Rfam family: 5.8S ribosomal RNA (bases 1-102)
Source: RNAcentral